GUCUUGGUACUACAUGUACAGGAUAGGUGGGAGGCUUUGAAACCAGGACGCCAGUUUUGGCGGAGCCAUCCUUGGGAUACCACCCUUGUAGUACUGGGACUCUAACCAUAGGCCAUGAAUCUGGUCUGGGGACACUGUCAGGUGGGCAGUUUGACUGGGGCGGUCGCCUCCCAAAAGGUAACGGAGGCGCUCAAAGGUUCUCUCAGUACGGUCGGAAAUCGUACGUAGAGUGUAAAGGCAAAAGAGAGCUUGAUUGCAAGACAUACAGGUCGAGCAAGGAUGAAAA
This 286-nucleotide ribosomal RNA is filed under the name Clostridioides difficile. Its description in RNAcentral is "partial 23S ribosomal RNA". It matches the Rfam family "Bacterial large subunit ribosomal RNA", at positions 2121 to 2405 of the family's 2925-position model. The record is from RNAcentral. Lineage: Bacteria; Bacillati; Bacillota; Clostridia; Peptostreptococcales; Peptostreptococcaceae.